This 475-nucleotide long non-coding RNA is filed under the name Pogona vitticeps (central bearded dragon). RNAcentral describes it as "lncRNA (ENSPVIG00000025307.1)". The record is from RNAcentral. Lineage: Eukaryota; Metazoa; Chordata; Lepidosauria; Squamata; Agamidae.
GUGAUAUGUGCUGAAAUUGCAUUUAGGUAUUGCUGGAGAAUCAUGAUAAACUGCAACAGCCCUUAGAGAUGAGCUUGCAUAGAAAGGCCGCCUGCACACUGAAGGACAGAGGUUAGCGUUCUACCUAAGGGUUACAUUUAAUAUCUUGUGGUUCAAUCGUCUCCAUUGAUGGACUCCACCUGUAUACAUUGACUUCAUGCGAAUGGCAUAGUUGGAUACACCAAUUGCAUUCUUGAUGACUUUCUCAGGGGAACCAAUUUCCUCCUCAUCCAGUUGUCUCAUUUGGGUCCAGGGAGAAGACAGUCCUAGCCUGAAGUCAGCUGAGCCUAAAGCUUCAGCUUUGAAGAAUUGCUGUGCAGGGAAGCUGAACUUCUGGUCUGGGGUACACUUCAGCAGUCAUUGCCAGAACGUACUGACAGCUCCUUGCAGGGAAUGGAGAAAGUUGGAGUUAAUUGAGCAUUUCGAGGGAGACUGA